RNAcentral lists this ribosomal RNA (304 nucleotides) under uncultured bacterium. RNAcentral's name for it is "partial 16S ribosomal RNA". It matches the Rfam family "Bacterial small subunit ribosomal RNA", at positions 506 to 809 of the family's 1533-position model. The record is from RNAcentral.
CAGCAGCCGCCGCGGGAAUACAGAGGGUGCGAGCGUUAAUCGGAUUUACUGGGCGUAAAGCGUGCGUAGGCGGCUUUUUAAGUCGGAUGUGAAAUCCCUGAGCUUAACUUAGGAAUUGCAUUCGAUACUGGGAAGCUAGAGUAUGGGAGAGGAUGGUAGAAUUCCAGGUGUAGCGGUGAAAUGCGUAGAGAUCUGGAGGAAUACCGAUGGCGAAGGCAGCCAUCUGGCCUAAUACUGACGCUGAGGUACGAAAGCAUGGGGAGCAAACAGGAUUAGAUACCCCGGUAGUCCCUGUCUCUUAUAA